Molecule: long non-coding RNA, 4476 nt
Filed under: Nicotiana benthamiana
Lineage: Eukaryota; Viridiplantae; Streptophyta; Magnoliopsida; Solanales; Solanaceae
Description: long non-coding RNA (NBEN_LNC041903)
Source: RNAcentral
CGGGAGUCUUGUGCCCAGAUAAGUUGAAGAUAGUGUAGUCAAGUUUGAAGUCCUUUUUGGAGCAGUGAGUGAUGGAAAGGAAGCAUUGAAAUCACAGGCAGGAUGACAACUGUUUAUGCGAACGCAGCUCAUCUCAUCAAAUAACCAGUCAGUUACAAGACCUAAUUGCAUCAUUCAAAACAGUUGCUUCAGCAAAUAAAUCUGCAUUUCCCCCCGACAGUUAAUGAUUUAAUAGAAGCAAUGCUUUACGCCAAAUUUUUUUUUACCUAAUUCAAUCCUAUAUGUCAAAACCCUAAACACUACUUUGAGUCCUGAGCUUGUCAAACCUUACAUAGUGAAGAUGUUACAUACUUUUGCAAAUUGUAGUUUUGAAUUCGAACUUUUGUAAUCAGAAUCUCAGAACAAGAAGUAAAAGAAUGAAUCUUAAGGAGGAGAAUGUAGAGUUUACCGGAGAAAUUGGACGCCGGCGGGCGAAGUGAAUAGAGUUAGAACCACCGGAGUUAACUUCAAACAGAGAUUAAUAAGAUAAUGUGGAGUUACUAUGCAGCCUACUUACAUAAGAGUAAGGGUGGCAAACGGUCCGGGCCCGGUCCCAAACGGGGCUCACGGGCCGGUCCUAAAUGGUCCAAUCUUAUGUGGGUCUGGGCUUCAUGGUCCGAGUUUAAGCGGUUUCGGGCUAGGGGCUCACGGGCCGGUCCUAAAUGGUCCGAUCUUAUGUGGUUCUGGGCUUCAUGGUCCGAGUUUAAGCGGUUUCGGGCUUCGUGAGCUUUUGGGGUGUAACUAGAUCGGGACCAUGAACUAAUGGUCCUGGUCUAUAUGGACUGGGAUCGGUCUUAAAUGGACCGAAGUGGGCCUUGAUUAUUUUAAAAAAAAACUUAUCUAAGACAAUUUCUUGUAAAUUGGACGCCGGCGGGCGAAGUGAAUAGAGAUAGAACCACCGGAGUUAACUUCAAACAGAGAUUAAUAAGAUAAUGUGGAGUUACUAUGCAGCCUACUUACAUAAGAGUAAGGGUGGCAAACGGUCCGGGCCCGGUCCCAAACGGGGCUCACGGGCCGGUCCUAAAUGGUCCAAUCUUAUGUGGGUCUGGGCUUCAUGGUCCGAGUUUAAGCGGUUUCGGGCUUCGUGAGCUUUUGGGGUGUAAGCAGAUCGGGACCCCGAACUAAUGGUCCUGGUCUAUAUGGACUGGGCUCGGUCUUAAAUGGACCGAAGUGGGGCUUGAUUAUUUAAAAAAAAAAACUUAUCUAAGGCAAUUUCUUGUAAAUUAUAUAGCUUAUAUAUAUUAUAUAUACUAUAUCUAUAUCUAUAAAUAUAUAUAUACUUUAUACAUUGCUUAUAUAUAUACACACAUAUGUGUGGGCCUAUUUAUACGUGGGGCUAUUUUUAGUUUAAAUUUUUUAUCUACGGUAUUUUCUUGUAAAUUAUAUUAUAUAGUUGUGACUUAAAAAUUUUAAUUCAAAUAUGAAACACAAAAUGUUGUAAAAAGAUAUUUAAAGGAAUGCGUUAUAAUUUUGGUGUCCCAAGUCACCGAUUUAUUUUAAAAUCCCAAAUCAAGGAAAUUUCGACUUUCCUUUUAAAGUCUGCGAAGCAGAAAUUCUGAAUAAGGAAUUCUAUUAACCCGAUGGAAGGUGUUAGGCACCCCCGGAUUCCGUGGUUCAAGCACUGUCGCUUAAACUAUUACAAUUGGCCUAUUAUCUGAUUUUAAUACAUGUUUUAGCCUAUGUAGCUUAUUAAACCGCCUUUAAUUAUUUUUAGGAAGAUUCAACGUUAUCUAAAACACGUCUUGAACCACGUCACAUGAAAUGCACCCGCGGUCCACGACACAUUUAUCUGACGUUGUUGAGAAUUGGAGUUAGGUCACAUGAAAUGCACACCCGAGUUUAGAAAAUUAAUUUUUUAAAAUAGCGUACCUAAAGCAACCAACCACUUUCAAGUUAAUAACAAAGUUUGUGAAGGCCAUGGAAAAUUCAACUAAUGGCACGUCUCGAUUUCUAAAGAACUAAAAUUAAUUAAUUGAGGGCCAUGAGCUUUGAGAUUUUAUUUGGCAUGACACGCCUCGAAUUAUUUCAAAAGGGUUUAUUAUUCGAAGUUAUUAUAAUCGGGUCACAUGAAAUGCAACCUCGAAUUUUGAAAGUAGGCAUCAUAACUAUGUCACGAGAACCGUAUCCAAAGCUACGAAUAUUCAUGAUUAUUUUCCUAAGUUUCGGAUUAUAAGCUUAGAGGACACAUUCUUAAAUUCUGUAGCUCUAGUUUUGGGCCUUGCAAAAACGCUCAUAAUUAUUUCAAAAUGGUUUAUUAUUCGAAGUUAUUAUAAUCGAGUCACAUGAAAUGCAGCCUCGAAUUUUAGAAACUAGGCAUCAUAACUAUGUCACGGGAACCGUAUCCAAAACUACGAAUGUUCAUGAUUAUUUUCCUAAGUUUCGGAUUAUAAGCUUAGAGCAGUCAUUCUUAAAUUCCGUAGCUCAAGAUAUUGGUUUUGGGCCUUGCACAAAAGCGCACACCCCUACCAAAAACAUGCAGUUCUAACAUGUAGUAACUCUUCUGUUAGUAAGUCUCACAAGUCAAAAAGGGACAAACUAAUUGAAAUACAAGAGUAUCUAUGAAGGAGGAAGAAAGGAUCAUAGUGUUAUAGAGUUGACGCAAACUAAAAGAAAUCAUGUUUUUUGUCCUUUCAUAGAAAAAUCUGCAACAAGACAAGAUAGAGCUCGAAUAUCCCAUUUGGCAGUAUGCUAGUAUAUCUUCAUUCAUUAAUGCACUGUACUUGAAAAGCAAAUGUAUUCGAAAGAAGACAAGUUUGACGUGUGUGAUGUGUCCAAUUUGAGGAUCAGUUCUUCGUGGAGAAUUCAGUACAGCACUGCUAAAAUAUUUUGAAUUAAAAGUGCUUCAGGAGAAGUUAUGAUGGCCCAGAAAUAUAAGAGGUGCAUUAGAAAGAAGACACGCCAACAUUUUCCAAGUAGAUGAUACUCCCUUAAAAGAUAUCACAGUAGUGUCUUUGUUUCUGUCCUUGCAACUAAAGUGCGAGGAUCUUAAUCCCGACACUCUUGCUACUAAAGUGCAAUGAUCUUAAAUCCCAAAAACUCUUGCCACUAAAGUGCAAGGAGGUUAACUGCCAAAACGCAUUAUCAAAUUUAAAACAAAGCUCUACCAUUAAUUUUUAGAAAAAAAACAAGCAUGCUGCAAAUUACGAUUAUUCUGAUAGAAACUCAAGCAAGAACUACUAUUGUGGAACUGAAACACAUUAGUAAAGCUCACACGAAACAUCUCUAAUACAAAAAAUUUCCGGAAGAGUGGAUGUAGUUAACAAAAGAACAUAUGAUUUUGAAACGGAAAAUUCUCCACAGCUGUUUGAAUAUUGGGACUAAUACCCGGAAAUAAGCUGGGAGGCCUCCCCUCACGGAGAUACAAGAGAUGAAAGAUCAACUGAGGCUUGUUAGACAACCACCCAUCAAGAAACAUAAACACAUAAUUCCUCUCUAUAUGAUGCUAUACAAAAUUAAAUUAUUCAAGAAAAGCCCAAAUAUGGUAGGUGAUUAGGAGAUAAACACAACACUAAGACACUUCUCAACUCAUGAAAUUUAGCAAAUCCAAUUAUAUAACUCAAAAGUAAAUACAGAGAUCUGGUGUGUACCUAUUUGCAAGGAAAAUGAGCUAAACCAAACCAAUGAUAAGAAUGGACCUUGGGCCUAACUCAACCCUAAGGAGACCAAGGACCUCAAAUCCCUCCGAUGUGGGAUAAUCCCCUCACGCCCAAAUUUCUAGAGCGUGGACAACAUAAAUGGGGGCCCAACAUCGGUAACAAUAAUUGGGAUAGGCCUGGCUCUUAUACCAUGAUAAGAAUGGACCUUGGGCCUAACUAAACCCCAAAAGCUAGCUUAUGAGGUACGGAUUGCCCAAGCCAUAUAAGGAAGACCUCAAAUCCCUCCGAUGUGGGAUAAUCCUAUUUGAGGUCCUUCGUCUCCUUAUAUGGCUUGGGCAAUCCUCACCUCAUAAGAUCUGAAACUGGUUGAACAAGAAAACUUGAAUAGAACUGAUUAAAAAUCGAGACCAACUUGAAUGAAGCUCAGCCCAAAACUUCAGCAAACAACACCAGCAAGCAAACCUCACAACUUUGAAAUAAUCUUUAACGGCUCCAUCGAGCUUAAACCCUGCUUGAAACCACUCGAUUUCUCAACCAAGUUCGCCGGAGAAGGAGAUUAAAAGAGCAGCAGUCGGAGCGCGGCCUCAACUCGCCAAAGAAGACGACCGAAUCAAAGUUGGAGGCCUUUUCCAGUAAAUAGACAUAAACAAAUAAUGGGAAUUUUCGAAGGAAAAUGAAUUACUGCAUUGAUGAUUGUUUCGAAGUCUUUUUGACUGAUUUACGCUGAUUUUUCGAUCUGAUUUCAAGGUGAUUUGGGGAUUGGAGGAGAUAUUGGCUGGAAGAUGACUGGAGGAGCUAUUUUAAUUUGGUGGUGAAGAUGGUUACUCAGUCCACAAGAACA